Long non-coding RNA from Mus caroli (Ryukyu mouse), 665 nucleotides. RefSeq lists it as uncharacterized. Lineage: Eukaryota; Metazoa; Chordata; Mammalia; Rodentia; Muridae. The record is from RefSeq and is a predicted model, not a curated record.
UGCCAGCGGCCGCUCAGGGCCGCGCCUAGGGGUUGGGUUUUCUUCUCUCCUACAGGUAGCAGGGACGCGUAGCGUGAGCCUGGACAUCGGAGCCCGCGGAGGGAGGGGCCGCCAGUUUCCCCCCACCCCCGGCCUGGCCUCGCCUUGUCCCCUCCGCAAAGCGGGACUGGCAGGCUGCAGCACCUGUGUGCCUAGGCGCCCACCUUCCCCAGCUAGCACUUCUCGGUGUUGCACGCUUUGCAGUGAGCAGUGAGAGGUUACUUGGGGAGCAUCAGUCAGAACUAGAAGUCAAGACUGGACAGGUCUGAGGAAGUGCGGUGCUCUGUCCGCACAGUGCUGUAAGGCUUCACCAGUCAGUGCUUGGUGUGAGCCUUGUCCAUGAUCCCCACUGAGCUUCUGAGAGCUUCAGCUGCACACAGAUGCCCCAGCUUCCAGCCCUCAUCGCCUUUUAGUUCUCUCUACGACUGCCACACAAGCACAUCGCAUACAACACCAGGUGGAUGAUGUACUUCUCGCUCUCUGCCCCCUUGAUGCGGACUCUGCUGCCGAAUGUAUCUGUCUCCACGAUGAGCUUGGCUGUGAGCAGCGAAAGGAAAAGAGACCUUAGUCUGUGGCUCAGGGGUGUGCAAGGCUUCUCUCCAAACUGUCUGCGCUUCGAAGUCAGA